CCAGCUCCCUGGUGGCGGUCCUCGGGACGGGGAAGUUGGUCUUGGCGUUGCGGCCGCUCAUGAGGACGGCGGCCUCGUCGUACGCCCGCGCCGCCUCCUCCGCCGUCUCGAAGGUGAUAGAACACUGAACUGCAGCGCAGAGAAGGAGAAUGGAGAGGAUCGGAGAAGAGUCGUGGGAGAGGCUGGUGGGGUUGGGGGACGCGGGGCGCGCUGUCGGUGAGGUGGUGUGCGUGGCGGGUGGGCAUCGGCAUAACCACCCUCGCUGCUGCCAGUACGUCGAUCGAUGCGAAUGAACACUACCGUAGCCUGAAAAUCGAAUGCGGAGCGACGAACGAAGACAUGGUACCAUGCGCUGCCGGAGAUGAACUGGAGAUGGGUCAGUGUGAUCGAUCGUUGGUAAAGGAAGCAGUUGGGCACAGGACCAUGCAUGCAUGCACCGGUUGAAGGAGGCGGUGAAGCCGGGAGACUCCUGAUCCACAACUCCCGUCAGUACACACAGGCCCUAUUUAGUUCUCACCCCGUAAACGCAAAAUUUUGCGAAAGAAUUUUGCUAAUUUGAAGUACUAAAUGAAGUCUAUUUAUAAAACUUUUUGCAUGGAUGAGCUGUAAAUCGCAAGACGAAUCU
Panicum virgatum (switchgrass) is the source of this 625-nucleotide long non-coding RNA. RefSeq lists it as uncharacterized. The record is from RefSeq and is a predicted model, not a curated record. The transcript has 3 exons. Lineage: Eukaryota; Viridiplantae; Streptophyta; Magnoliopsida; Poales; Poaceae.